UGCCAGCCGCCGCGGUAAUACGGAGGGGGCAAGCGUUGUUCGGGAAUUACUGGGUGUAAAGGGCGUGUAGGCGGCGGUUUUAGUCAGGCGUGAAAGCCCGAGGCUCAACCUCGGAAUAGCGCUUGAUACUGAACUGCUUGAGACCGGAAGAGGGUAGUGGAAUUCCCAGUGUAGAGGUGAAAUUCGUAGAUAUUGGGAAGAACACCAGUGGCGAAGGCGACUUCCUGGACUAUUACUGACACUGAGGAGCGAAAGCGUGGGGAGCAAACAGGAUUAGAUA
RNAcentral lists this ribosomal RNA (280 nucleotides) under uncultured bacterium. RNAcentral's name for it is "partial 16S ribosomal RNA". It matches the Rfam family "Bacterial small subunit ribosomal RNA", at positions 506 to 784 of the family's 1533-position model. The record is from RNAcentral.